UCCAGACUCCUACGGGAGGCAGCAGUGAGGAAUAUUGGUCAAUGGCCGAGAGGCUGAACCAGCCAAGUCGCGUGAGGGAAGACGGCCCUACGGGUUGUAAACCUCUUUUGUCGGGGAGCAAAGCGAGUCACGUGUGACUCAUUGAGAGUACCCGAAGAAAAAGCAUCGGCUAACUCCGUGCCAGCAGCCGCGGUAAUACGUAGGGAGCGAGCGUUGUCCGGAAUUACUGGGUGUAAAGGGAGUGUAGGCGGGAUGGUAAGUUAGGUGUGAAAUGCGGAGGCUCAACCUCCGAGCUGCACUUAAAACUGCUGUUCUUGAGUGAAGUAGAGGUUGGCGGAAUUCCCAGUGUAGCGGUGAAAUGCGUAGAUAUUGGGAGGAACAUCAGUGGCGAAGGCGGCCAACUGGGCUUUUACUGACGCUGAGGCUCGAAAGCGUGGGGAGCAAACAGGAUUAGAUACCCCCGUA
This 465-nucleotide ribosomal RNA is filed under the name uncultured bacterium. Its description in RNAcentral is "bacterial SSU rRNA". It matches the Rfam family "Bacterial small subunit ribosomal RNA", at positions 330 to 792 of the family's 1533-position model. The record is from RNAcentral.